RNAcentral lists this ribosomal RNA (1506 nucleotides) under uncultured prokaryote. RNAcentral's name for it is "partial 16S ribosomal RNA". It matches the Rfam family "Bacterial small subunit ribosomal RNA". The record is from RNAcentral.
AGAGUUUGAUCCUGGCUCAGAGCGAACGUUAGCGGCGCGCUUAACACAUGCAAGUCGAACGAGAACGCUCCUUCGGGAGUUAUUAAAGUGGCGCACGGGUGAGGAACGCGUAGGUAAUCUACCCUCCGGCGGGGGACAACAUUCCGAAAGGAAUGCUAAUACCGCGUAAGACCACGCUUACUACGGUGAGAGUGGUAAAAGGCGCCCCAAAGCGCCACCAGAGGAUGAGCCUGCGUCCCAUCAGCUUGUUGGUGAGGUAAUGGCUUACCAAGGCGAAGACGGGUAGCUGGUCUGAGAGGAUGAUCAGCCACACUGGCACUGGAACACGGGCCAGACUCCUACGGGAGGCAGCAGUGAGGAAUAUUGGGCAAUGGGCGAAAGCCUGACCCAGCCACGCCGCGUGUGUGAUGAAGGCCUUCGGGUCGUAAAGCACUGUGGGGAGAGACGAACAUGCGCAGGAGGAAAUGCUUGCGCACUGACGGUACCUCCUUAGCAAGCACCGGCUAACUCUGUGCCAGCAGCCGCGGUAAUACAGAGGGUGCAAACGUUGCUCGGAUUUACUGGGCGUAAAGCGCGUGUAGGCGGACUCGCAAGUCGGUUGUGAAAUCCCUGGGCUCAACCUAGGAACUGCAUCCGAAACUGCUUGUCUUGAGUAAUGGAGAGGGUGGCGGAAUUCCCGGUGUAGCGGUGAAAUGCGUAGAGAUCGGAAGGAACAUCAGUGGCGAAGGCGGCUAUCUGGACCAAUACUGACGCUGAGGUGCGAAAGCGUGGAGCAAACAGGAUUAGAUACCCUGGUAGUCCACGCCGUAAACGAUGUCAACUAGCCGUUGGAGGGCUUGUCCCUUUAGUGGCGCAGCUAACGCGAUAAGUUGACCGCCUGGGGAGUACGGCCGCAAGGUUAAAACUCAAAUGAAUUGACGGGGGCCCGCACAAGCGGUGGAGCAUGUGGUUUAAUUCGAUGCAACGCGAAGAACCUUACCAGGUCUUGACAUCCCGAGAAUUUACUAGAGAUAGUUUAGUGCCUUCGGGAACUCGGUGACAGGUGCUGCAUGGCUGUCGUCAGCUCGUGUCGUGAGAUUUGGGUUAAGUCCCGUAACGAGCGCAACCCUUGUCCUUAGGUUGCCAGCACGUAAUGGUGGGAACUCUAAGGAGACUGCCGGUGACAAACCGGAGGAAGGUGGGGACGACGUCAAGUCAUCAUGGCCCUUACGACCUGGGCUACACACGUGCUACAAUGGUCGGUACAGAGGGUUGCCAAGCCGCGAGGUGGAGCUAAUCCCAGAAAACCGAUCGUAGUCCGGAUUGGAGUCUGCAACUCGACUCCAUGAAGUCGGAAUCGCUAGUAAUCGCGAAUCAGAAUGUCGCGGUGAAUAAGUUCCCGGGCCUUGUAAACACCGACCGUCACACCAUGGGAGUGGGUUGUAAAAGAAGUGGGUAGACUAACCUUCGGGAGGUCUCUCACCACUUUGUGAUUCAUGACUGGGGUGAAGGCGUAACCAGGUAGCC